CCGUCAAUUCCUUUGAGUUUCAACCUUGCGGUCGUACUCCCCAGGCGGAUUACUUAUCGCAUUUGCUUCGGCACGGACACUCUUCAUGCCCACACCCAGUAAUCAUCGUUUACAGCUAGGACUACCAGGGUAUCUAAUCCUGUUUGCUCCCCUAGCUUUCGCACUUCAGCGUCAGUUACCGUCCAGUGAACUAUCUUCAUCAUCGGCAUUCCUGCACAUAUCUACGAAUUUCACCUCUACUCGUGCAGUUCCGUCCACCUCUCCAGUACUCUAGCCACAUAGUUUCCAGGGCAGGCUUGCGGUUGAGCCGCAAGUUUUCACCCCAGACUUAUCUGGCCGCCUAGAUGCCCUUUAUGCCCAAUAAUUCCGGAUAACGCUUGCGACAUACGUAUUACCGCGGCUGCUGGCACGUAUUUAGCCGUCGCUUCUUCUGCAGAUACCGUCAUUUUUUUCUUCCCUGCUGAAAGCACUUUACAAUCCGAAAACCUUCAUCGUGCACACAGAAUUGCUGGAUCAGGGUUGCCCCCAUUGUCCAAUAUUCCUCACUGCUGCCUCCCGUAGG
RNAcentral lists this ribosomal RNA (562 nucleotides) under uncultured bacterium. RNAcentral's name for it is "partial 16S ribosomal RNA". The record is from RNAcentral.